Molecule: long non-coding RNA, 834 nt
Filed under: Helianthus annuus (common sunflower)
Lineage: Eukaryota; Viridiplantae; Streptophyta; Magnoliopsida; Asterales; Asteraceae
Source: RNAcentral
AUGAUAUAAUUAUAUUUAAAAAUACUCUAAAAUGAUCCGUUACUCAAAACCCGGACCCUUGAAAUCCCAAUCCAUAUCAGAAAUAAAGAAAAUCAGAUAACUGGUGUUCUCGCGGGCCGCGUAAGAAAUAGGCAGACGGUCACGCGGGCCGCGACAGCUCGUGGGUAUCCGGAUAUGCAUGACGACCACGUGUCAUCACACGCGUCGCAACCACUGGUGACUCAGCUAUCUCCGGUCUGAUCUAAGCUUCCACGCGGGCCGCGUAAGAGUCGGCCGAAGGUUCACGCGGGCCGCGACAAACCCCAAUUUCACCUAUAAAUUGCCUGGACAUCGAGCUUUCAUUCUGUGUCGAAAGUUUCUUUUAGAAACGAAGUAAUACUGUCCAAAUUCAAAUAUUACUCUCAUAGUAGUGGGGUACUGCUACGAUACCGGGUAUUAACUCGAUCGCUGCUACGAUUCAAUGUCCGAUCGAUUGAAACUAUCCGACCGGAUGUUUAAGUACUAUCCUUUGUCAUUAGUCGUGAUUCCGACAGGAUGUUUAAGUACCACCCGAACUCGGGGAAUACUCUGUCAUUCGUUGUGAAUCUGAUGGAUGUUUAAGUGAUUGCACUUUGUCAUUCGUUGUGAGGGUUUUAAUCUCGUGAGUUAUCGUAAAAGCUAUAUUAGUUAUUUACCUAGUUCGUGUGCACUAGGUUACAAGGCUAAUCAAUAGACUAAGCUCUGCCUGCAUAAAUCUGCAAUAUAUCAAGGCUUAUCUGUAGACUAGAAAUUUCCCGUAUGAAUCUGCAUGCUUAUAAUGUAAUUACAGUAGAUUAGAGUAAGAAUUGGAUCCGG